ACAGGAUUAGAUACCCUGGUAGUCCACGCCGUAAACGGUGGGUGCUAGUUGUGGGUUCCAUUCCACGGAAUCCGUGACGAAGUUAACACAUUAAGCACCCCGCCUGGGGAGUACGGUCGCAAGACUAAAACUCAAAGGAAUUGACGGGGGCCCGCACAAGCGGCGGAGCAUGCGGAUUAAUUCGAUGCAACGCGAAGAACCUUACCAAGGCUUGACAUAUAGAGGAAACGUUCAGAAAUGAUCGCCCCGCAAGGUCUCUAUACAGGUGGUGCAUGGUUGUCGUCAGCUCGUGUCGUGAGAUGUUGGGUUAAGUCCCGCAACGAGCGCAACCCUCGUCCUAUGUUGCCAGCACGUUAUGGUGGGAACUCAUGGGAGACUGCCGGGGUCAACUCGGAGGAAGGUGGGGAUGACGUCAAAUCAUCAUGCCCCUUAUGUCUUGGGCUUCACGCAUGCUACAAUGGCCGGUACAAAGGGCUGCGAUACCGUAAGGUGGAGCGAAUCCCAUAAAGCCGGUCUCAGUUCGGAUUGAGGUCUGCAACUCGACCUCAUGAAGUCGGAGUCGCUAGUAAUCGUAGAUCAGCAACGCUACGGUGAUACGUUCCCGGGCCUUGUACACACCGCCCGUCAAGUCACGAAAGUCGGUAACACCCGAAGGCCGGUGGCCUAACCGUAAGGAAGGAGCCGUCGAAG
This 690-nucleotide ribosomal RNA is filed under the name uncultured Actinomycetes bacterium. RNAcentral describes it as "bacterial SSU rRNA". It matches the Rfam family "Bacterial small subunit ribosomal RNA", at positions 772 to 1461 of the family's 1533-position model. Lineage: Bacteria; Bacillati; Actinomycetota; Actinomycetes. The record is from RNAcentral.